Molecule: ribosomal RNA, 460 nt
Filed under: uncultured bacterium
Lineage: Bacteria
Description: partial 16S ribosomal RNA
Rfam family: Bacterial small subunit ribosomal RNA
Source: RNAcentral
CCUACGGGAGGCAGCAGUGAGGAAUAUUGGUCAAUGGGCGAGAGCCUGAACCAGCCAAGUCGCGUGAGGGAAGAAGGAUCUAUGGUUUGUAAACUUCUUUUAUAUGGGAAUAAAGGGAGGCACGUGUUCCUGUUUGUAUGUACCAUAAGAAUAAGCAUCGGCUAACUCCGUGCCAGCAGCCGCGGUAAUACGGAGGAUGCGAGCGUUAUCCGGAUUUAUUGGGUUUAAAGGGUGCGUAGGUGGUUAAUUAAGUCAGCGGUGAAAGUUUGUGGCUCAACCAUGAGAUUGCCGUUGAAACUGGUUGGCUUGAGUAGAUGAGAGGUAGGCGGAAUGCGUGGUGUAGCGGUGAAAUGCAUAGAUAUCACGCAGAACUCCGAUUGCGAAGGCAGCUUACUGGACUAUAACUGACGCUGAGGCACGAAAGCGUGGGGAUCAAACAGGAUUAGAUACCCUGGUAGUC